RNAcentral lists this ribosomal RNA (858 nucleotides) under Reddellomyces sp. AH13145. RNAcentral's name for it is "eukaryotic LSU rRNA". It matches the Rfam family "Eukaryotic large subunit ribosomal RNA", at positions 88 to 960 of the family's 3401-position model. The record is from RNAcentral. Lineage: Eukaryota; Fungi; Ascomycota; Pezizomycetes; Pezizales; Tuberaceae.
GGCGAGUGAAGCGGCAAGAGCUCAAAUUUGAAAUCUGGCGCCGCGAGGCGUCCGAGUUGUAAUUUGGAGAGGCAUCUUCCGGUGGGGCCCCAGCCUAUGUUCCUUGGAACAGGACGUCACAGAGGGUGAGAAUCCCGUUCAUGGUCGGGUGCCCCCACCUGCAUGUAGUGUCUUCUACGAGUCGAGUUGUUUGGGAAUGCAGCUCAAAAUGGGUGGUAAAUUUCAUCUAAAGCUAAAUAUUGGCGAGAGACCGAUAGCGCACAAGUAGAGUGAUCGAAAGAUGAAAAGCACUUUGAAAAUAGAGUCAAACAGUACGUGAAAUUGUUGAAAGGGAAGCGCUUGAGACCAGACUCAGCCUAGGGCAAACAUCCUUCCUUCUGGUUGGUGCACUUGCCCAUGGCUGGGCCAGCAUCAGUUGGGACGACGGGAUAAAUGUCUGGGGAAUGUGGCUCCCCUCGGUGAGUGUUAUAGCCCCGGACACCAUGCCGUCCGUCCCGACUGAGGACCGCGCUCCGGCUAGGAUGCUGGCGUAAUGGUCUUCAGCGACCCGUCUUGAAACACGGACCAAGGAGUCUAACAUCCAUGCGAGUGUUUGGGCUUCAAACCCUUACGCGUAAUGAAAGUGAACGGAGGUGGGAACCCCGCGAGGGGCGCACCAUCGACCGAUCCUGAUGUCUUCGGAUGGAUUUGAGUAGGAGCAUGGCUGUUGGGACCCGAAAGAUGGUGAACUAUGCCUGAAUAGGGUGAAGCCAGAGGAAACUCUGGUGGAGGCUCGCAGCGGUUCUGACGUGCAAAUCGAUCGUCAAAUUUGGGUAUAGGGGCGAAAGACUAAUCGAACCAUCUAGUAGCUGGUUCCUG